AACGAACGCUGGCGGCAUGCCUAACACAUGCAAGUCGAACGAGGCCUUCGGGUCUAGUGGCGCACGGGUGCGUACCGCGUGGGAACCUGCCCUUAGGUUCGGAAUAACUCCCCGAAGGGGGUGCUAAUGCCGGAUAAUGUCUUCGGACCAAAGAUUUAUCGCCUUUGGAUGGGCGCGCGUUGGAUUAGCUAGUUGGUAGUGUAAAAGCCUACCAAGGCGACGAUCCAUAGCUGGUCUGAGAGGAUGAUCAGCCACACUGGGACUGAGACACGGCCCAGACUCGGACGGGAAGGAGCAGUGGGGAAUAUUGGAGAAUGGGCGAUAGUCUGAUCCAGCAACGCCGGGUGAGUGAUGAAGGCCGUAGGGUUGUAAAGCUCUUUUACCCGGGAUGAUAAUGACAGUACCGGGAGAAUAAGCUCCGGCUAACUCCGUG
Molecule: ribosomal RNA, 433 nt
Filed under: uncultured bacterium
Lineage: Bacteria
Description: partial 16S ribosomal RNA
Rfam family: Bacterial small subunit ribosomal RNA
Source: RNAcentral